GAUUGGAUGCUGAGUUGAAGCUUGUUGGGAAGUAGAUGCAAACGUGAAUAUAAUGCUUGAGGAGAAGGACCCACGUAGGUAGGAUCUUUGAGGAGAACGAGCACGUAUGGUUUGUUGGAUAAGAGCCAGAACAAGCUCACUUACUUGUUGGCUCUCACUGUUGACAACUUUCUUGAAUGCCGGCGUCAGACCCUUGUGUUCAAGACUGGUUGGAAGGCACCGCUAGUGAAGCACAUUGACUUCUCACUCACACGCCUAUUUGGAGGUGGAGAUGCUGACGAAGAAUGAGCUUACUCUUCUGGUCAUCAUUAUGCCUUUAUAGAACGUCGACAUGUUUGCUGAUAUGAUCUUCUCGUACUUGGUUUUUCUUUGUGGUGUUCAUUGAUUGCAAUAAUAAUAAUAUCCUAACCUUAUAAUUGAAAACAUCUGUUUAAUGCAUUGUAAU
Molecule: long non-coding RNA, 445 nt
Filed under: Helianthus annuus (common sunflower)
Lineage: Eukaryota; Viridiplantae; Streptophyta; Magnoliopsida; Asterales; Asteraceae
Description: hypothetical non coding rna
Source: RNAcentral